UCAAAUUCGCUGGACUCAUUUUGUCUCC
RNAcentral lists this non-coding RNA (28 nucleotides) under Rattus norvegicus (Norway rat). The record is from RNAcentral. Lineage: Eukaryota; Metazoa; Chordata; Mammalia; Rodentia; Muridae.